GGGCCCGCACAAGCGGUGGAGCAUGUGGUUUAAUUCGAUGAUACGCGAGGAACCUUACCAGGGCUUAAAUGUAGUCUGACAGGGGUGGAAACACCCCCUCCUUCGGGCAGAUUACAAGGUGCUGCAUGGUUGUCGUCAGCUCGUGCCGUGAGGUGUCAGGUUAAGUCCUAUAACGAGCGCACCAUCCCUGUCUAGUUGCCAGCAUGUAAUGAUGGGAACUCUAACGGGACUGCCGGUGCAAACCGCGAGGAAGGUGGGGAUGACGUCAAAUCAUCACGGCCCUUACGUCCUGGCUACACACGUGCUACAAUGGCCGGUACAGAGGGCAGCCACACCGCAAGGUGGAGCGAA
RNAcentral lists this ribosomal RNA (351 nucleotides) under uncultured bacterium. RNAcentral's name for it is "bacterial SSU rRNA". It matches the Rfam family "Bacterial small subunit ribosomal RNA", at positions 917 to 1271 of the family's 1533-position model. The record is from RNAcentral.